GACGAACCGUCCUAACGUUGUUCGGAAUCACUGGGCUUAAAGGGCGCGUAGGCGGCCUUGAAAGUCGGGGGUGAAAUCCCACGGCCUAACCGUGGAAGUGCCUCCGAUACUGCAAGGCUCGAGGGAGGUAGGGGCAGCGGGAACUUCCGGUGGAGCGGUGAAAUGCGUUGAUAUCGGAAGGAACGCCGGUGGCGAAAGCGCGCUGCUGGACCUCUGCUGACGCUGAGGCGCGAAAGCCAGGGGAGCAAACAGG
This 253-nucleotide ribosomal RNA is filed under the name uncultured bacterium. Its description in RNAcentral is "partial 16S ribosomal RNA". It matches the Rfam family "Bacterial small subunit ribosomal RNA", at positions 524 to 776 of the family's 1533-position model. The record is from RNAcentral.